RNAcentral lists this ribosomal RNA (253 nucleotides) under uncultured bacterium. RNAcentral's name for it is "partial 16S ribosomal RNA". It matches the Rfam family "Bacterial small subunit ribosomal RNA", at positions 524 to 776 of the family's 1533-position model. The record is from RNAcentral.
UACGAAGGGUGCAAGCGUUACUCGGAAUUACUGGGCGUAAAGGGUGCGUAGGUGGUCGUUUAAGUCCGUUGUGAAAUCCCUGGGCUCAACCUGGGAAUGGCAAUGGAUACUGGCAGGCUAGAGUGCGGUAGAGGGUAGUGGAAUUCCCGGUGUAGCGGUGAAAUGCGUAGAGAUCGGGAGGAACACCAGUGGCGAAGGCGGCUACCUGGACCAGCACUGACACUGAGGCACGAAAGCGUGGGGAGCAAACAGG